CUGCGAGUGAAGCGGCAAAAGCUCAAAUUUGAAAUCUGACGUUCAUAUUGACGUUCGAGUUGUAAUUUGGAGGAGCGCCUUCGGGAACCGACGCCGUUCUAAGUUCUUUUGGAACUGGACAUCACAGAGGGUGAGAAUCCCGUGCCUGGGCGGCAGUCUGGUUCCCAUACGAAGCGUUUCCGACGAGUCGAGUUGUUUGGGAAUGCAGCUCAAAAUGGGUGGUAAAUUUCAUCUAAAGCUAAAUACAGGCGAGAGACCGAUAGCGCACAAGUAGAGUGAUCGAAAGAUGAAAAGCACUUUGAAAAGAGAGUUAAACAGUACGUGAAAUUGUUGAAAGGGAAGCGCUUGAGAUUGAACGAUCGGACAGGAUGGAGCUUGUAAGGGCUGGCGGUUUACGCCGGGUUCUUAUACAGCCCGCCAUCCUCCCUCCAACCACCAUCGGUUCCGGCGGCGAGAAAAACGACUGGGGAAUGUGGCUCCUCUCGGGGAGUGUUUAUAGACCGAGCCGAUUUGCGCCAGCUGGGACCGAGGCUAAGAGCGAGCUUGGGGUAUUUAUACCCCAUGACCUCAAGGAUGUGUGGCAUGUCGAUCUUAAGCGACCCG
RNAcentral lists this ribosomal RNA (603 nucleotides) under Lamprospora feurichiana. RNAcentral's name for it is "partial large subunit ribosomal RNA". It matches the Rfam family "Eukaryotic large subunit ribosomal RNA", at positions 87 to 651 of the family's 3401-position model. The record is from RNAcentral. Lineage: Eukaryota; Fungi; Ascomycota; Pezizomycetes; Pezizales; Pyronemataceae.